Molecule: small RNA, 27 nt
Filed under: Bombyx mori (domestic silkworm)
Lineage: Eukaryota; Metazoa; Arthropoda; Insecta; Lepidoptera; Bombycidae
Description: ovarian small RNA-22305
Source: RNAcentral
UAGCAUGUAACCAUAAGGUGUUGGGCU